UACGUAGGGUCCGAGCGUUGUCCGGAAUUACUGGGCGUAAAGAGCUCGUAGGUGGUUUGUCGCGUUGUUCGUGAAAACUCACAGCUCAACUGUGGGCGUGCGGGCGAUACGGGCAGACUGGAGUACUGCAGGGGAGACUGGAAUUCCUGGUGUAGCGGUGGAAUGCGCAGAUAUCAGGAGGAACACCGGUGGCGAAGGCGGGUCUCUGGGCAGUAACUGACGCUGAGGAGCGAAAGCGUGGGGAGCGAGCAGG
RNAcentral lists this ribosomal RNA (253 nucleotides) under uncultured bacterium. RNAcentral's name for it is "partial 16S ribosomal RNA". It matches the Rfam family "Bacterial small subunit ribosomal RNA", at positions 524 to 776 of the family's 1533-position model. The record is from RNAcentral.